AAAUGGAUAAAACAGAAGUUUAAGGAGAUUUCUGAAGUAGAGGGUAAGAGAGGUAUAGCAGGUGAUAGAUGUAAAAACUUGCAUUCCUAUCAAAAAAUAGAUCAAUGGACAAUGGCUACAUUUUAUGAACCAAGAAAAAGUGUUAUAAAAAUUUUUCGAGCCAGGUGUGGUGGUGCACACCUAUAAUCUCAGCCAUUUGGGAGGCUGAGGCAGGAGGAUUGAGAGUUCAAAGCCAGCCUUAACAAAAUUGAGGUGCUAAGCAACUCAGUGAGACACUGUCUCUAAAUAAAAUAUGAAAUAGGGCUGGGGUUGUGGCUCAGUGGUUGAGUGUCCCUGAGUUCAAUCCCUGGUACCAACAAAAAAGAAAAAAAUAUUUUUGAGAGUGUUGCAAAUCAGUAGCAUCAAAACUAGAAAAUAAUAAGAUAAUUUUUGCUUCUGGAAAACCAGAACUUUUAGUGGGUAUGGAGAUAUUAAAAAAAAAGAUGUAUUUUUAGUAAAACUGAAAACCAUUAAUUUAAAGGAAAGCAAAGACAAGAAUGACACGGUUUGUGCAAACAAACUAUAAGGAACACCUUUUUUUUCUUAUUAAAUCAGAUAUUAAUCUUUUUUGUUGUUUUGUUUUGUUGUUGUUGUUGUUUGGUUUUGGCCUUCAACAAAGGCAUAGACCUCAUCUCAUUAAAAGCAAUGUCUCUAAGUUUUUGAAGGUUUUUGAUCUAGUAAACAGCAUGUUGACUGUGGUUAGUAAUACUGUGUUACUUAGUUGAAAUGUGUUAAAACAAAUUUAUGUGUCUACCUCCCACCCCAACCAUAAUGACAUAUAACUAUGUGUGGUAAAGCAUGUGCCAAUCAAUUUGAUCUUGGUAAUCAUUACAUGAAGCACUCAAAUCAUCAGGUAGUAAACCAUGAAUAUAUGUGAUUUUUGUCGUAUCUCAAAGAAACUAAGAAAAAAAAUGCCAUCAUCUUAUAUUUUGCCAUGAGAGAGUAGAAAGUGGAGAGGAAAGCUUGCUCUCUGUACCUGCAUGAUGUACAAAAGACCCUCUCUGAUCACAAGGAAGAAUCUAUUUUACUGUCACUAAAAAUAACAAAUUAAAAAAUUCAAUAGGAAUAAAAAGGAAAAGAAACAGUCCUUCAAAUAUUCAGUUCUGAUCCUGAGAAAUUAGCAAGUUUACAUGCUCAGGGACAAAACUGAGACAGUAGAGGUUCAGAAAUUUGCAUUCGGUUGGUCUGUUAGUCUCUCAGGAGUCCAGUCCUCAUCAUAAUUCAGAGAACAGAAGAGGAGCAAAGUCUGAAGAAAUAAGAUAAUGGACCUCUUUUCUGAUGCUUCAAACAUGCUAAAAGGAAAUGUAAAUAAUAGAUGAGCGAGGCAUUUUUUCCCAUUUUUUUUUUGUGAAGUUAAGUAGGUAUAAAUACUAAAGUAGAAAAGUAGUAAAAGUUGAAGUUAGAGUAGUUUAAGGAUAACAAAGAAAGAAAACAGCAGGCAUAAUGUGCAUUUUAUUAAUGGUUCUUUCCAAAGCCAUCACACUGCUACUCAGUGUAUGAAGAUGCCUAUUUUGUGACGAUAGUGGUUCAGAAAGUUCAUGUGUCAUUUCUGGACUCAAUAAAUACUAGUGAUGUUUGAUUAAAUGCAAAUUUUAGAAUAAAUACUCCUGUUUUAAGCCAAAUUAAAAAUUCUCAUUUCUCUCUAUAAUUAAUUUGUUGUGAAUCAAUUUGAAAACUUUAGUAAGUAGAAUUAUCAUGCUUUAUUUAAGGUAAAUUAAGGUUCUAUGAUAGUGGAAAUAGAAUGGAUGGCAAAAAUUGGAUAUGUAUGUUUUCAAAGAUUGAAAAGCCAUGUGGAAAUAUUAAACCCCUUUUCAACUGCAAAAUAACGUGUUGAAUUGACUAUCACUGGGAAGCAGAAAUCGAAGGAUAAGGAAUUAGACUUUAUAAUGAGAGGAUAUGGAAUGAAAAAGUGGCAAAAUAGUAAAGAAAAUAGGAACUAUCUAGAAAAUUUUCAGAUGUUACUUUAUUAUUUUAUUCCUUUUUAAGCAUCAUGACCCCUACACUAAUUACAUUCCUCCUAAAUAAUAACCAUUCUGUGUUCUUCAGUUGCUGUCCUUGUUGGAGUGCUUAGACUGGCUAUUGCAUU
This 2125-nucleotide long non-coding RNA is filed under the name Marmota monax (woodchuck). Lineage: Eukaryota; Metazoa; Chordata; Mammalia; Rodentia; Sciuridae. The record is from RNAcentral.